GGGUCAGUAGGUUGGUCGUGCCACCGGUACGUACUGGUCUCACUGAUUCCUCCUUCCUGAACAACCGUAAUGCCAUUAAUUUGGUGUUGCGGGGAAACAGGACGGUUACUUUGAAAAAAUUAGAGUGUUUAAAGCAAGCUAUCGCUUGAAUACAUUAGCAUGGAAUAAUGAAAUAGGACGAUCGAUCCUAUUUUGUUGGUUUCUAGGAUUGACGUA
Molecule: ribosomal RNA, 216 nt
Filed under: Glomeromycotina sp.
Lineage: Eukaryota; Fungi; Glomeromycota
Description: partial small subunit ribosomal RNA
Rfam family: Eukaryotic small subunit ribosomal RNA (bases 40-216)
Source: RNAcentral